AAGACAAUUCAGGGCUAGUAACAUCCUUUCUGAGCCCCAGCUUUCCCUUCACUAAAAUAGAGUUAAAUAUCUAUUUUUGUGAGCAUUAAGUAAUGUGAUUUAAAGCAUCUGACACUUAGCAUAUACUCUUAACUAAAAUUGAUUUUCUCCUGUAGUAAACAUUUUCAUAUUUUCUGGUAGCUCAGGAUGUUUUGAAUAUAUUUGCUAUGUUUAGGGAAUUUCCAAUCUUAAUAUAAGUGUUGCUUCCCCAAGGUAAGCUCUGAAAAUUUUUCCAGACUCUCAAAGCUAGGGCCAGCACGCCUGCAGAAGACUGAUUUGGAAGUUAGCAGCUUGAGAAAGGAAAAAUUCUGCUUUGAAAACAAUUUGCUGAUAAAGGCAUAUGACAUUUGGGAUGGCAGUGCUUGCAAGGCCACAACUAGUGCAGUAGUGGCCUUGCUGGGCAGUGGGAGUGGCAGCAGUUACAUUUAGUGUUUGGUAGGGCAUUAAUAAGUUGUGGCGGUGACUUUGUCAUUGGACCAGUUUUAUGGGAUAGUUUUAAGCAUUGUUCCUGGAAGCCUAAUUCCAUACCUGUUCCUCUAGCCUCCCAUUGAUUCUCUGAGUCUUCCCAUCUCCUUUUAACAAAUUCUUUUCUGCUCACUCAGCCAGAAUUAGCUUCUGUUACUUACAACUGUGAGUCCUGACUGAAAACAUAUUUCUUCCUUUGAAGAACUGUUACCUGUAACAGGCUAAGAAGAAUAUUAAGAAUAAACAGAUGCUUUUACAGCUCGCCUUGGCGGGAAGAUCUGGCACAAAUGAAGUAUCUAUAAGGAGCAGCAGAGUCAAGGUGGUGAUCCUGUGGAUG
Molecule: long non-coding RNA, 841 nt
Organism: Homo sapiens (human)
Lineage: Eukaryota; Metazoa; Chordata; Mammalia; Primates; Hominidae
Source: Ensembl